CCUACGGGAGGCAGCAGUGGGGAAUUUUGGACAAUGGGCGCAAGCCUGAUCCAGCAAUGCCGCGUGUGUGAAGAAGGCCUUCGGGUUGUAAAGCACUUUUGUCCGGAAAGAAAUCCGUCUGGCUAAUACCCGGACGGGAUGACGGUACCGGAAGAAUAAGCACCGGCUAACUACGUGCCAGCAGCCGCGGUAAU
RNAcentral lists this ribosomal RNA (194 nucleotides) under uncultured bacterium. RNAcentral's name for it is "partial 16S ribosomal RNA". It matches the Rfam family "Bacterial small subunit ribosomal RNA", at positions 338 to 524 of the family's 1533-position model. The record is from RNAcentral.